CCGUAUUCCCAAUCCUGACACAGGGAGGUAGUGACAAGAAAUAACAAUACAGGGCUUAAAGUCUUGUAAUUGGAAUGAUGGGAAUCUAAACCCUUCCCAGAGUAUCAAUUGGAGGGCAAGUCUGGUGCCAGCAGCCGCGGUAAUUCCAGCUCCAAUAGCGUAUAUUAAAGUUGUUGCAGUUAAGAAGCUCGUAGUUGAAUUUCUGCCUUGUCAUUAAUCUCGCUUCCGAGCGUUUUUUUAUUGGCUUGGCAUCUUCUGGAUUUGGUGCCUUCGGGUACUAUUUUCCAGGAUUUACUUUGAGAAAACUAGAGUGUUUCAAACAGGCAUUCGCCUUGAAUACUACAGCAUGGAAUAAUGAAGUAGGACUUUGGUUCUAUUUUGUUGGUUAUUGAGCCAGAGUAAUGGUUAAUAGGAGCAGUUGGGGGCAUUCGUAUUUAAA
RNAcentral lists this ribosomal RNA (439 nucleotides) under Babesia microti. RNAcentral's name for it is "SSU rRNA". It matches the Rfam family "Eukaryotic small subunit ribosomal RNA", at positions 434 to 902 of the family's 1831-position model. The record is from RNAcentral. Lineage: Eukaryota; Apicomplexa; Aconoidasida; Piroplasmida; Babesiidae.